RNAcentral lists this long non-coding RNA (3945 nucleotides) under Ananas comosus (pineapple). Its description in RNAcentral is "long non-coding RNA (ACOM_LNC043535)". The record is from RNAcentral. Lineage: Eukaryota; Viridiplantae; Streptophyta; Magnoliopsida; Poales; Bromeliaceae.
UCCAAAGAGUACAUAUACAUCACGGGUAUACAAAAAUAGGAUAGAUACAAUGGUGGUUUCUCUAUACAAAGGGACAUCACCCUCGGUCGUAGCCCGAGUAGCAAGGUGAUCGACUAGUAUGCUCCUAGCAAUGUCUAGCUAGACGCGACUCCCUUGCCACGAUCCCUAGCCUCUCCUGUAGAUGGCUCUGUAAAAACAACCACCAAAAGGGUGUGAGAACUAUUAACAAUAGUUCCCAGUGGGUAAGCCGCCAGCCUCGGCGAAUUACACCACUAGGCUCAUGAUAUACUGAAAGUAAGUGAAAGCAAUAAAUGCAGGAUAUAGAAAUAUGCGAUGCUAACCGGGUACAGGCAUGUAUUCAACAUGUAAACAUGAUUUCUGCAGUAAUGAAUCAACUGAAUAAUAGAAGUAUCACAACUACUAUAAACAUGAACAUAAAUAUAAUCAUUGAAGUGUAAGUACUACUGUACACUACCACUGGUACUUAUUCAUUACUAUCAUUAUCAUGUUCACUUUCAUUUUCAUUCACUAGGACCUACUUAAGGUAGUCCAGCUUGCGCCGCGCCUAAUGGUCCCGUGGUAGUAUACACUCCCCACGGCAAUCCACUUCGGCACCCAAUCCCGCACGGGCGAGCAACUGUCGCGUAGGCCAACUCCGGAGUGCCGGCUUGUAGGGAGCUACCCUCACAAGCGUGUGCGAAUGAGCACGAUGGCAAGCAAGUAAAAUCCAUUAUCCACAUGUCACAAUUUUCAUACUUUCAUUGCAAAGUUCUUACCCUCGAUCCUCUGAUCGGAAUUUCAAUACACAAAUAAUAACAAGAGCUAGUAUCCACUAGAUUGUAACAUGUAAGAGUAAAGCUAAAUCACCUGGCAUAAUAAUCUCUCCACAAGUAUGGCUGUCACGCCCCGCCCCGAAUCCACUACCAAUUUGGCACGGUUCGGGCACAUCAGACGGACCGCCGAACGGACAGUACCUCUCCUGUCCGCACAAGGCCAAGCAACCAGAUCAUGUACAUUUAAGCGCCCAGGAAUUUGCUUAAAUAAUAUACAUGAUCAAAUACGAUGCACACAAGUGCAAUACAUCUAAGAGCAAGAACCACAAGUGAUAUACAAGUGUAUAAAGAGAGAUAGUCUAACUAUCACAAUUAUUCAACAUUUACAUUAUUUGAAUACAUUAUAAUUUCAUCUUCCAAAAUGUAAGUACAUGUUUUCUUCAAAAUACAACUAGCUCUCUGAUAUCUAUCCAAAAUAUCAACUAGUACACGAGGGUACUCUAAUGCAUAAGGAAAAGCUACUAACUAGGCUCACUUAGGGCGCUAUGCCCUUGCCGCGGUCCUCACUCAGCUCGCCUCUGUGUGUGCCUGUACCCCAAAACCACACGGGGUGAGAACUAUAUAAAUAUAGUUUCCAGUGGGUUCGGCCGCCGACGCCGCCGAUUUUCCCACUAGGUCUAAGCUGGCAUAGAUAGAGAGAUAGAUAGAUAUGUAAAGAGAUAAACUGCAACUACUCUAUCAUGCUAUCAAUGAUGAUAAUGCAUGCAACAACUAUUUUCAUGCAGAAUCAUGUCAUGAUAUAUAAAAGUACAUAGCAAUGCAAUCUUACAACAUACACUAUGUCUACUCGAAGUAAUAUGCAAGUCUACUAUGCAUCUCAUGUUUAUUACAAUCUACCUAGGCCAACUUGCCUAAGAUCUCAAAUCUUAAGGUCCUAGACAAGAGCUACCCGCUCCUUGCCCGAUAAUCUGAAGGUCUAAAAGACGUACCCGCUCCUCGCUCGACAUCAGUCGAAGGUCCUAGGCAAAGAGCUACCCGCUCUCGCCCGACUCAUCUCUCUCUACUAGGCGUACGAGCCGCCCUGCCAUAGUAAUGGAACUAUACACAUGCUACUAUGCCUCUGUAAAUAUGAAUGCAUGGACAUAGCAAUGAUUUCUAUAAUCAUGAAUACUAUGCUUCAACAAUAAUGAAAUGAGCUACUACAUAGUGAUGUAUCUACAACAUGCUACUAUGUCUCAAUAAUCCGAAUGAACGAGCUACUACAUAGUGCGUCGUGCAACUAUGCCUCGAUAAUAUCCAAUCUCAUGGCUAACCCGAAGGUUGCCACCCCAGGGACAACCACGACUCACUUUCAAUCUCAUAGGUGAGGAGAAACUGCACUCGCACACCGAGACCGUCUGCGGGACAACCCUGUGAGAUACUCCGGAGACUCAUGCCUCGGUGGAGCGACCACCGACAAGCGAAAACAGACUAGUGAGUAUAAUCCAAUCCUCUCAAGAGGAUACCCUAUUUACAAGGGUCAAUGUGCCUCAACUGCACUAAUGCCAAAUGCAUAAUGUCUACAACAUGACAAUAGGAAAAAUCUACUAUACUAAUUCAAUGUCGCUUGUUUUCAUCAUCACAAGUCCAAGUUCAUCAUCAUUCUUGUCACUAUAGGAUUCUUGUCACAUGACCCAAUCCUCAUGCAACCUAAGUUCAAGUGUCAAGCCCAUAAUGCUACACUACCAUAGGAAACAUGUAAGGAAAUGGAAUGUAAUCAUCUACUAAUCCUAUAAUGAACAAUAUCAAUAUAUGAAUAUGAUCAAAAAUAAAACUUAGACAUAAAAGGAAGCCCGGAUGUUUCGGUAUGACACCCCCCACCUUUUACCGCUAUCACGAGGCUAGGUUCUCAAUUGCACGUUCCCUAGUCGCCGCUUUACUCUUCGGUCGCACCUGCUCGACGAAUCGACGAACCGACGCUUCACACGCGUUUAGGCACCUCAAACACAAGCUUUUCCUCAAACCAAGUAAUGAAGAGGAUGAAGACUUCACCUCCAAGCAACCUUUUUCUUCUCCAAAUGCACCUCCAAUUCCUCCCUUUGGUGGAGAAAUUGUUGGAGAGAGAGAGGUAUUUCUCUUUGGUUGCAAGUGUGAGGGAGAAAGAAAGAAAAUGCUCAAGUCCCCUAUAUAUAUAUAGGAAACUUGGCCUCCAAGUUUCAUAGGAAACUUGGUCUCCAAGUGUCAUAGGAAACUUAGCCUCCAAGUUUCAUCCAAGUUAUCUAGGAAACUUGGCCUCCAAGUUAUCUAGGAAACUUGGCUUCCAAGUUAUCCAAGAAUACUAUUCACAUUUGGUUUAGCAGCACGGUACAGAUAUUUUUCGUCUGCCCUGUCUCUCACAGAAAAUUCUAAAUCUUCUGUUUUCGCUUUCAUUUCAACACGGGUCACUCUAGACUUAUAAUUUAUGUCUAUAAGUCCAAUAAAAAUAGUAUCCCACACUAUUUUUAUUUAUUUUCACUUUUACAUUUAAAAUCCGGUACCUUACAUCGGCACUAUCAACAUAGUUAUGAGCAUGUCAUAGUUCUCUAUGUUAGAGUCAAGAGAAUGUCAUUGUUCUCUACUUUAAAGUGCAUCCUACACUUGUUCAUAAGCCAUUCAACUGUAUUGAAUAUGAAUAGAAAUACUUUCAUGUAUAUAUGUUCUCUAUAUCAUAGAAACAUAAUAAACUGAUCUCCUGAUUGUUCUACUGAACUAAACAAGAAUACUUUAAUGCAUGAGUACUUUUAUGCAUGAACGCUCAUUUCACAUAUGAUAAACGUCAUGAUGACGAAUUCCGAGCCCUUUAACAAUCACAUAGGCAUAUAAUUAAACCGCGUCUAUAAUACAUAUAGAACAUAGGGGAGCUUCACUUGCUCUGGUUAGGUCAAACCCACCUAUUACUAGGCUUCAAUCAGUCCAAAGAAAAUCCCAAAGUCCGCUCCACAAGGUCUCAACUCUGCUGAAAAACAAGGCAUGAAAGUGGCAUCAAUACUACAAUCGAAAUGUCCGAUCUCAUCACAAUUUGCACUUAGUACACAGUAGUAGCUUGAAUCCCUGCUUUGGGCUAGUUAAUACCUCAAGAUGAGUCUCCAAGAGCUCUCACAAGUCCACUAAAGGUGCUCUAAAGCUCGGUCGCACUCUCGCUGCAAACCACGUC